GGAGGGCAAGUCUGGUGCCAGCAGCCGCGGUAAUUCCAGCUCCAAUAGCGUAUAUUAAAGUUGUUGCAGUUAAAAAGCUCGUAGUUGAAUUUCGAGAUCGGCUUACUGGUCGUGCUUUUGUACGUACUGGUAUAAUCGGUUUCUCCUUUCUGACGAACUUUAAUGCCAUUAAUUUGGUGUUUUAGGGAAUCAGGACUGUUACUUUGAAAAAAUUAGAGUGUUUAAAGCAGGCUCACGCUUGAAUACAUUAGCAUGGAAUAACGGAAUAGGACGUUUGAUUCUAUUUUGUUGGUUUCUAGGAUCGACGUAAUGAUUAAUAGGGAUAGUUGGGGGCAUUAGUAUUCAAUUGUCAGAGGUGAAAUUCUUGGAUUUAUUGAAGACUAACUACUGCGAAAGCAUUUGCCAAGGAUGUUUUCAUUAAUCAAGAACGAAAGUUAGGGGAUCGAAGACGAUCAGAUACCGUCGUAGUCUUAACCAUAAACUAUGCCGACUAGGGAUCGGAUGAUGUUAAUUUUUUAAUGACUCAUUCGGCGCCUUACGGGAAAC
RNAcentral lists this ribosomal RNA (546 nucleotides) under uncultured Glomeromycotina. Its description in RNAcentral is "SSU rRNA". It matches the Rfam family "Eukaryotic small subunit ribosomal RNA", at positions 550 to 1098 of the family's 1831-position model. The record is from RNAcentral. Lineage: Eukaryota; Fungi; Glomeromycota.